Molecule: ribosomal RNA, 978 nt
Filed under: Bursaphelenchus antoniae
Lineage: Eukaryota; Metazoa; Nematoda; Chromadorea; Rhabditida; Aphelenchoididae
Description: SSU rRNA
Rfam family: Eukaryotic small subunit ribosomal RNA
Source: RNAcentral
CUUGUCUCAAAGAUUAAGCCAUGCAUGUCUAAGUGGAGUAUUAUAUAGCGAAACUGCGAACGGCUCAUUACAACAGAUAUAAUUUACUAGUUCUUGAUCCUAUAUGGAUAACUGCGGUAAUUCUGGAGCCAAUACAUGCAUCAAGCCUCGGCCUUCGGGUUCGGGGUGCAAUUAUUGGAGCAAAACCAGUCUCGUACUGUUUGCUAACUCUGGAUAAUUCUGCUUAUCGCAUGGUCUUGUACCGGCGAAGUUUCUUUCAAGUAUCUGCUUUAUCAACUAUCGUUGGUAGUUUAUUGGACUACCAUGGUGUUGACGGGUAACGGAGAAUCAGGGUUUGACUCCGGAGAGGGAGCCUUAGAAACGGCUACCAUGUCUAAGGAUAGCAGCAGGCGCGAAAAUUACCCAAUAUCAAAACGAUGAGGUAGUGACGAGAAAUAACGAGAUCGUUCUCUUUGAGGUCGAUUAUUGGAAUGAGUACAAUCCAGAAAUUUUAACGAGUAUCUACGAGAGGGCAAGUCUGGUGCCAGCAGCCGCGGUAAUUCCAGCUCUCGUAAUGUAUAGAAUUAUUGUUGCGAUUAAAAAGUUCGUAGUUGGAUUGUUAAGCGAGCAUGGGUCCAUCUUCGUGAUGCGUACUCAAUGCUCGCAUUUUGUUGGUUUUUGCGGCGUUGCUUCGGCUUCGUCGUGAUGCCAGCAGGAUUACUUUGAACGGCUCAAGUGCUCAAAGCAAGUCUUAUGACUGAAUACCGGUGCAUGGAAUAAUGGAACAAGGUUUCGUCCGAGUUUUAUUGGUUUUGUCGGCUGAAACAAUGGUUAACAGGAACAGCCGGGGGCAUUCGUAUCGCUGCGCGAGAGGUGAAAUUCGUGGACCGUAGCGAGACGACCGACAGCGAAGGCAUUUGCCAAGAGUGUUUUCAUUAAUCAAGAACGAAAGUCAGAGGUUCGAAGGCGAUUAGAUACCGCCCUAGUUCUGACCGUAAA